GACGAACGCUGGCGGCGUGCUUAACACAUGCAAGUCGAACGGAAAGGCCCUGCUUUUGUGGGGUGCUCGAGUGGCGAACGGGUGAGUAACACGUGAGUAACCUGCCCUUGACUUUGGGAUAACUUCAGGAAACUGGGGCUAAUACCGGAUAGGAGCUCCUGCUGCAUGGUGGGGGUUGGAAAGUUUCGGCGGUUGGGGAUGGACUCGCGGCUUAUCAGCUUGUUGGUGGGGUAGUGGCUUACCAAGGCUUUGACGGGUAGCCGGCCUGAGAGGGUGACCGGCCACAUUGGGACUGAGAUACGGCCCAGACUCCUACGGGAGGCAGCAGUGGGGAAUAUUGCACAAUGGGCGGAAGCCUGAUGCAGCAACGCCGCGUGCGGGAGGACGGCCUUCGGGUGGUAAACCGCUUUCGCCUGUGACGAAGCGUGAGUGACGGUAAUGGGGAAAGAAGCACCGGCGAACUACGU
RNAcentral lists this ribosomal RNA (467 nucleotides) under uncultured bacterium. RNAcentral's name for it is "partial 16S ribosomal RNA". It matches the Rfam family "Bacterial small subunit ribosomal RNA", at positions 28 to 506 of the family's 1533-position model. The record is from RNAcentral.